GGAUGUGAGGGCAAUCUGGCUGCAAUAUCUGUCACCCCAUUGAUAACCAGGCUUGAUUCGGCUGAUCUGGCUGGCUAGGCCGGUGUCCCCUUCCUCCUUCAUCAUUCUACGUGCAUCCCUCCCGAAGCUGCGUGGUUGGUCCAAGAGGACGCCCUUCUCCGAAUACAGGAGGAUGGGUCUUAAGUCAAGGGUAUAUGAGUAGCUGCGUUCCCCUGGUAGAACCUCCAAACAAGCUCUCAAAAGCAAGAAGGGGCUUGCGUGACCCCAGUCUCUUGCUUUUUCUUUCCUUUACUUGCUGGCUGUGAGAUGAGCAUUUUGGU
RNAcentral lists this small nuclear RNA (320 nucleotides) under Jaculus jaculus (lesser Egyptian jerboa). RNAcentral describes it as "7SK RNA (ENSJJAG00000001175.1)". It matches the Rfam family "7SK RNA". From Rfam's summary of the family: 7SK was discovered as an abundant small nuclear RNA in the mid-70s but a possible function has only recently been suggested. Two independent studies have found that 7SK RNA binds the CDK9/cyclin T complex (known as elongation factor P-TEFb). Lineage: Eukaryota; Metazoa; Chordata; Mammalia; Rodentia; Dipodidae. The record is from RNAcentral.